RNAcentral lists this microRNA precursor (109 nucleotides) under Ochotona princeps (American pika). RNAcentral's name for it is "miRNA (ENSOPRG00000017658.1)". The stretch from base 17 to 97 matches the Rfam family "mir-423 microRNA precursor family". Lineage: Eukaryota; Metazoa; Chordata; Mammalia; Lagomorpha; Ochotonidae. The record is from RNAcentral.
ACUUGUGAGGAAAUACAGGAAGUGAGGCUGAGGGGCAGAGAGCGAGACUUUUCUAUUUUCCCAAAGCUCGGUCUGAGGCCCCUCAGUCUUGCUUCCUACCCCGCGCUUG